Molecule: ribosomal RNA, 373 nt
Filed under: uncultured organism
Description: partial 16S ribosomal RNA
Rfam family: Bacterial small subunit ribosomal RNA
Source: RNAcentral
GGAGGGUGCGAGCGUUGUUCGGAAUCACUGGGCGUAAAGCGCGUGUAGGCGGCCCGUUAAGUCUGAUGUGAAAGCCCGGGGCUCACCCCCGGAAGGGCAUUGGAAACUGGCGGACUAGAGUCUCGGAGAGGAGGGUGGAAUUCCUGGUGUAGCGGUGAAAUGCGUAGACACCAGGAGGAACACCGGUGGCGAAGGCGGCCCUCUGGACGAUGACUGACGCUGAGACGCGAAAGCGUGGGGAGCAAACAGGAUUAGAUACCCUGGUAGUCCACGCCGUAAACGAUGAGCACUAGGUGUCGCGGGUAUUGACCCCCUGCGGUGCCCGCCGCUAACGCAUUAAGUGCUCCGCCUGGGGACUACGGCCGCAAGGCUA